CCACGAGGGUUAGACUGUCUCCUUUUUCAAAUCAGUGAAAUUAAUCUCCCCGUGAAGAAGCGGGGAUACUCAUAUAAGACGAGAAGACCCCAUGGAGCUUCAAACCCAACUACACCCCUAGCUCUUAUAGCCCCACAACCCCCCUAGGCACCGUGUGCUUGGUUUUAGGUUGGGGCGACCGCGGAGUACAAUAAAACCUCCACAAUGAAUGGGAACACCCCCUUAUCUGAGGGCCACACCCCCUAAGAAUUAGAACACUAACAUAAAAUGAUCCAUUACUUGAUCAAUGAACCAAGUUACCCUGGGGAUAACAGCGCAAUCCAUUUCAAGAGCCCCUAUCGACAAAUGGGUUUACGACCUCGAUGUUGGAUCAGGGUACCCCAGUGGUGCAGCAGCUACUAACGGUUCGUUUGUUCAACGAUUAAAACCCU
This 431-nucleotide ribosomal RNA is filed under the name Mantidactylus melanopleura. RNAcentral describes it as "partial 16S ribosomal RNA". It matches the Rfam family "Bacterial large subunit ribosomal RNA", at positions 2002 to 2597 of the family's 2925-position model. The record is from RNAcentral. Lineage: Eukaryota; Metazoa; Chordata; Amphibia; Anura; Mantellidae.